AUUUUUUUCUUGCUGCUGCGGUGGUGAUAUGCUGGUUCCUGACAAGAGAUGAAGAAAUCAAAGUCAGCUUUUCAAGACAGCCCCAAGACUCCUCGCAACCUGUGUUCAAAUGUGAGGCUGUUGUCAGGUGAUGAAUGCAAGGAAGAGGCACUCAACUGACAUGAAACAUGUCAAAGACAACAUGAAGGUGACAUUUCAACAUAGGCAAAAAGUGGUUCAAGAACCUGCCACAGCUUCUACUGUCCUGGACCUUUUCCCAAGAGUUCUGUACACCUGGCUUGGUUGACCAAGACUUCACAAUGCUGUUUGUUGGGGAGGAAGUGUCUGCUAAGUUCCUUGCAAAGUGGCCAACCAAGCCAAGGAUCAUCAAAGAUUGCAAAAAUCUGUCUCAGAGUACAGAAUUGGAUGAGCUGCUCAUUUCUGCACAGCGUUACUCUGACGAGGGUGUUUGGGACUGCGAGGCGGCUGCCAGCUUUUGCUGCUUCACUUGUACCUCCAACAUCUAAGGGAGGGAAGUCUUCAAAGAUUAGCACAUCAGAUGCUGCUCACCACCUAAUGAAAUUCAUCAAGGUGGGAGGUAGCACGGAGGCUUUUCUUAAGGCUGGCCCCACUCAGCCAUUCGUCCUGUGUGUUGGAGAAAGAAAGAACAUCAUCCAGAGUUUCUACAUUGUCCUAGAUCAA
Long non-coding RNA from Oreochromis aureus, 681 nucleotides. RefSeq lists it as uncharacterized. The record is from RefSeq and is a predicted model, not a curated record. The transcript has 5 exons. NCBI's taxonomy places the organism in Eukaryota, Metazoa, Chordata, Actinopteri, Cichliformes, Cichlidae.